CUGGCGGCACGCCUAACACAUGCAAGUCGAACGCAGUAGCAAUACUGAGUGGCAAACGGGUGAGUAUAAUGUGGGAAUCUGCCUUUUGGUUUGGAAUAGCACGGGGAAACUUGUGCUAAUACCGAAUAAGCCUUUACAGGGAAAGUUUUAAUGCCGAAAGAUGAGCCCGCACUUGAUUAGAUAGUUGGUAAGGUAAAAGCUUACCAAGGCAACGAUCAAUAGCUGUUCUUAGAGGAAGACCAGCCACAUUGGGACUGAGACACGGCCCAGACUCGUACGGGAGGCAGCAGUGGGGAAUCUUGCACAAUGGGGGAAACCCUGAUGCAGCGAUGCCGCGUGAGUGAAGAAGGCCCUUGGGUUGUAAAACUCUUUCGUCGGGGAAGAAAAUGACUGUACCCGAAUAAGAAGGUCCGGCUAACU
Molecule: ribosomal RNA, 420 nt
Filed under: uncultured bacterium
Lineage: Bacteria
Description: bacterial SSU rRNA
Rfam family: Bacterial small subunit ribosomal RNA
Source: RNAcentral